AUGUGCAAGCUACCAAAGGAGGUGGUCACCACUCCUCCACUAAUUAGUGAACCUCCACCCAUAAAAGGAUUGAUUUCUGACCUCAGCAGCGAUACCAACCCUAAUUAUGCCAUUAGUGAAAAAUCAGCCGAAAUUGCGAACGCUGUCCGAAAUCAACCAUCAAACACAGGCUUUGUGACGGUUCUCUCCACUUUAGCACUUAUGUAUCGCCAUCAAAGGUUGGCAUCGAUCCAAUACCACAGUGCACAGCUGAAGCACGUGCAAGACAUGGCUAACAUGAGGGCACAGGUGGAGAGAACUGAGCAACUAUUGACAAAAGCAGGAAAUGAAAACAUUCUGCUAGUCAAGGAACUGCGUUUGAAAUCGGAACAAUUAAAAGUAAUUGCAAAUACUUAUGACGAUGAACGAGCACAAGCUCUUCAACAGAAUCAUAUGCUACAGGAACAACUCGAUUUAGCCAAAACUAAAUACGAUGAUGUCCACGCCAAACUAGAUAAAUCUGAAGAGUUAUCUACAAACAGGAGCGCUCAACUUGACAACAUGCACGCUGUUUUAUUGAAUGUUACUCAAAAUAACACGGUGCUCCUCAAAGCGCUGCAGAACAAAGACGAUCAGUUAAUGAACACAGUGACAAAGUUGGAUGAUAAAUCAGCAGAACUUAUUGAAGUUGCUGACCAAUUGAAUGAUGAGAGAACUCAGGUGAUGAGGAUGGAAAUAUUGAUUUCUAAGCAAGCAGAGGAAAUCUCAUCACUGAAUCUCUCGCUCCGUACUCGAGACCUCUAUCUGCAUAGCAUGACAGAUAAGUUUGAGACCGAAAGGAGCAGGUGUGACACUCACGUGUCCAAAAUUGGUACUCUAAGCGCUCAAGUGGACUCUGCAAUGCAGCAUAAGACCACCCUUAGGUACCAGCUGGAGGAAGUCCAGAAUGGGCACGCUCUACAGCAUGACUACCCAUCCAAGCAACCGGAGUCCGGUACUCAAAGGAGUGAAGACGAUAGGUUUCAGACAUUGCAUCCAUCAUGUGUCCCUCAGUCUUCUCCUCUUGGCCAUUCGGCACUGAGUAAUAUGGAGCCUCUUGGCCAACAAAGCCAAAGCUUGGCUUCUCCUCUUGGCCUUUCGGCCCCAAUUUCUCCACAGGAUGAAGCCAACCCUCUCCGCCCGCUUGGCGCGGAAUACCUUGACAAACUCGUCAAGAAUUUCCCCACCUUUGACCCAUUCCAGGUCAGCCAAACGAUACUGAGACGUUCCUAG
This 1251-nucleotide long non-coding RNA is filed under the name Salmo trutta (river trout). RNAcentral's name for it is "lncRNA (ENSSTUG00000023971.1)". The record is from RNAcentral. Lineage: Eukaryota; Metazoa; Chordata; Actinopteri; Salmoniformes; Salmonidae.